Molecule: ribosomal RNA, 254 nt
Filed under: uncultured bacterium
Lineage: Bacteria
Description: partial 16S ribosomal RNA
Rfam family: Bacterial small subunit ribosomal RNA
Source: RNAcentral
UACGUAGGACCCAAGCGUUAUCCGGAAUUACUGGGCGUAAAGAGUUGCGUAGGUGGCAAAGUAAGCAAGCUAUGAAAGCGUAUGGCUCAACCAUAUAUCCAUAGUUUGAACUGCUUGGCUAGAGAGCGAGAGAGGUAGAUGGAAUUCCCAGUGUAGGAGUGAAAUCCGUAGAUAUUGGGAGGAACACCGAUGGCGUAAGCAGUCUACUGGCUCGUUUCUGACACUAAGGCACGAAAGCGUGGGUAGCAAACAGG